UCAACAGGUUCUCAAUAGAUCUCCAGUCCGAGGAGAACACCUAUGGAGUGUGGGCCUGCUGGCUGGUCCCCGACAUAUGGCCCCCAACGUGGACCUUGGACGCGGGAGAAAUUAAUUGAGGGACCCCACUGCCGGAUGCAGAGCUCUGGUUAAUUAAGGAAGAAAGGAUCCAGAUUAUUGUAGUCGUUUCCACGGGCAGGCGACAUCCCGAAGUCCCUGGCUUACCACUGAGAUUCCAGCAUUUCAAAGGUUAAUUCGACUACCGGAGCCAGCAAAGAAUCAAUUUGCAUUAUCUUGAGACCUGUUCCCUGGCAACCGACUCCAGAGCCCUAGCAGAGGAUGUGCAACUCAACAAAGGACUUUUCCCAGCUCCACCUUCAGACUUCAGCAUCUAUGUGAGCGGCCUGGCCAGGAUUAUGUUGGCUGCUUUCAGAAAAUUUCAACAGCUCCCGGACUUUGCAGGUGUUUAUAGGCACAACUUGACAUUUUGUAUGGAUGGGUGGUGCAGAAGAUAGCACUCUCUCUGGCCGUGAGGUUAACUCAGGCAAAUACAUGCCCAGUGGCUGUCUGUGAUAAAGACAUGUCAUAAGCCCGGCUUUCCCUGUGCAAAAUUUGCCUGAGAGGACAGAGCCAGAGAGAGAGUAGCUCAACACACUGGUUAUGAUUCCCAUGCAAAUGUGUCGAGCCAUGUCCUUUACCCUGCAUUUGUUUUUAACGAGAGAGAGUGAAAUGUGGACUCCCUCCCCUUAGCCCGGAGAGUUUUGAAAAAACAGUGCCUCAGACCCAGGACUGUGGAUCCCACCUGUGGAGCGAAUCCCUGACUGCCAUAGAUCAAAGACUGCUGACAACUAUCUCACCUCUGUCUCAAUUGCCUUUGAAGGUCCAUCCCACCCGUCUCUUGUUUAUGUUAGAUGCUUUGACUAUUGCUGGUUUCGGUUCUCCCUUUAUGGUUUUGGUUUUGCCUUACUAUAUAAACCCAGUUUUCC
Long non-coding RNA from Mastomys coucha (southern multimammate mouse), 986 nucleotides. RefSeq lists it as uncharacterized. The record is from RefSeq and is a predicted model, not a curated record. The transcript is spliced from 2 exons. Lineage: Eukaryota; Metazoa; Chordata; Mammalia; Rodentia; Muridae.